GGACCUCUUAGAAAGGACCGCAUCAUCAGCUAAGGAGGAAAAGUAACAAAGAACUUGAAGACUUUCAUGGCUCCCAGGCCCUGGAUGGAGGCAGACGGCAUCAGGCAGCUUCAGACAGAGAAUGGUGGAAGCUGAGGGGCAGCUAGGAUGCGCCUGGGGCUGCAAAGCCCAGACUUGUCUUUGGAAAAGACUCAGAAGAGCCCGUUAACUUGGCUUCCUCACUUUGCUCAUCAUGUGAGUAC
RNAcentral lists this long non-coding RNA (242 nucleotides) under Bos indicus x Bos taurus (hybrid cattle). RNAcentral describes it as "lncRNA (ENSBIXG00005011241.1)". The record is from RNAcentral. Lineage: Eukaryota; Metazoa; Chordata; Mammalia; Artiodactyla; Bovidae.